AUAUUUGCAUUACGUAGCCUGGCUACUUGGAUCACAUUUGAGAAUUUGAAAGAAAAGUAAGUGUGCAUAAACUAACGUUUAUAUUGAAAUUUAAAAAUAUCUUUUUUACGUAAAAUAUUAGUUGAAAGAUUACGUAUUAAGUAUUUUUUAACCUAAACUAUGCAACAUUUUAUAUUAAUUAUUGACGUAAAAGAAAUAACUUAACCUAACUUAACCUAGUAUUAAUAAAUGACCUAGUGUUAAUAAAAAAACGAACAAGAUUGAAAUAAAUAUAAUUAUAUAUAAUAGCAGGUCAACAUGCCACAAAGAUGCAUAAUAGAUAAGUGUGUAAAUGUGCAAAAGAAAAAUUGUGGAAUUUCUUUCUUUAAAUUCCCAUUGAAUGAUACAAUUUUAUUAAAAAAAUGGACGACAGCUAUACACAAAACACACUGUUCUAUAACUGCAUUUAACAUACCUAAUUUGUGAACGGCACUUCAAGAAAGAAUUUCUUUCUGGACUAAAACGAAAAAGAUUAAAAAUAAAUGCAGUACCAACGGAAUUUUUACAAGUAGAUCCAUUGGAAGAACUAAAUGCUCUAAUAAAUUUAUACGGACAAGUCAAGACUGGUUGCAGAGAUGAAAUAGCUGUAAGAGAAGACGCAAGUUCCAGCAUUGCACCUGAUAUGCACAUUGCGUCUAACCCUGCAGAAG
Vollenhovia emeryi is the source of this 689-nucleotide long non-coding RNA. RefSeq lists it as uncharacterized. The record is from RefSeq and is a predicted model, not a curated record. NCBI's taxonomy places the organism in Eukaryota, Metazoa, Arthropoda, Insecta, Hymenoptera, Formicidae. The transcript is spliced from 4 exons.